Long non-coding RNA from Carlito syrichta (Philippine tarsier), 802 nucleotides. RefSeq lists it as uncharacterized. NCBI's taxonomy places the organism in Eukaryota, Metazoa, Chordata, Mammalia, Primates, Tarsiidae. The record is from RefSeq and is a predicted model, not a curated record. The transcript is spliced from 2 exons.
AUGUGUUCAUGGAAUAUUGGUUUUGGAAAUGUUGAAAUAGAUUAUUGAGCACCAUUGCAUAGUGAGAGGUGUUUGCUUUUUUUUCCCCUAGUAACUGGGGUACAUGAAUGCCAUUAAGAGGUCUUUGAAGCCCUUGAAAUUGAUGUAAGUUCUAUGUGUCUAUGCAUAGGUAUGUAUUUCUGAGGACAAGAUCCAAGGAGUUUUCCUGAUUCUCAAAUUUCUCCAUAUGAAUUUUUAUGAUUGACUGAAACAUCAGAGACAAAAAGAGUCCAAGACGUGGAAACAGUCCAAAUGUCCAUCAACUGAUGAGAAAAUAGCAUGUGGUAUAGCCACACGAUGGAAUCAUACUCAGAUAUACAGAGGAAGGAGUCUUGACGGAUACAGUUGACACCAUGGAUGAGCCUGGAGAACAGUUUGCUGAGCAGCAGAAACCAGACACAAAGGGGGACGUUAUACUAUUCAUUUAUGUGAAAUGUCCAGAUAGGAGAAGACAUAGAGACAGAAAAUAGCUUUGUGGCUGCAGGGUGCUGGUGGUAAGGAAGAAAGGGAAGUAAUUGUGGGGCUCAGGGCUUGAUUUAGGUUGCUGAAAAUAUUCUGGAAUUAGAUAGUGAUGAUAACUGCACAGUACUGUGAAUGUCCUAAAAAAAUACUAAAAUCUUAAAGAUGACAUUUUAAAAGUGAGUUUCACGGCAUGUGGAUUAUAUCUCAGCAAAAGUUUUUUUAAAUGAUAAAACUGAAAAUCAGUUCUGCACAUGAGUGUAUAUAAAAACUUUAUGUAUAAUCAAUAAAAACUGAAAGCAAA